RNAcentral lists this ribosomal RNA (274 nucleotides) under uncultured bacterium. RNAcentral's name for it is "partial 16S ribosomal RNA". It matches the Rfam family "Bacterial small subunit ribosomal RNA", at positions 523 to 796 of the family's 1533-position model. The record is from RNAcentral.
AUACGGAGGGUGCAAGCGUUACUCGGAAUCACUGGGCGUAAAGCGCGCGCAGGCGGCUUGAUAAGUUGGAUGUCAAAGCCUACGGCUCAACCGUAGAACUGCAUCCAAAACUAUUAGACUAGAGUGUGGGAGAGGAAGAUGGAAUUAGUUGUGUAGGGGUAAAAUCCGUAGAGAUAACUAGGAAUACCAAAAGCGAAGGCAAUCUUCUGGAACACUACUGACGCUGAGGCGCGAAAGCGUGGGGAGCAAACAGGAUUAGAUACCCCUGUAGUCC